AUUGAACGCUGGCGGCAUGCUUUACACAUGCAAGUCGAACGGCAGCGCGGGUUUCGGCCUGGCGGCGAGUGGCGAACGGGUGAGUAAUACAUCGGAACGUGCCCAGUAGUGGGGGAUAGCUCGGCGAAAGCCGGAUUAAUACCGCAUACGACCUGAGGGUGAAAGCGGGGGAUCUUCGGACCUCGCGCUAUUGGAGCGGCCGAUGGCAGAUUAGCUAGUUGGUGGGGUAAAGGCCUACCAAGGCGACGAUCUGUAGCUGGUCUGAGAGGACGACCAGCCACACUGGGACUGAGACACGGCCCAGACUCCUACGGGAGGCAGCAGUGGGGAAUUUUGGACAAUGGGCGAAAGCCUGAUCCAGCAAUGCCGCGUGUGUGAUGAAGGCCUUCGGGUUGUAAAGCACUUUUGGCGGGAACGAAAAGGACUGUGCCAAUACCACGGUUCGAUGACGGUACCCGCAGAAUAAGCACCGGCUAACUACGU
Molecule: ribosomal RNA, 483 nt
Filed under: uncultured bacterium
Lineage: Bacteria
Description: partial 16S ribosomal RNA
Rfam family: Bacterial small subunit ribosomal RNA
Source: RNAcentral